RNAcentral lists this ribosomal RNA (380 nucleotides) under uncultured eukaryote. Its description in RNAcentral is "partial 18S ribosomal RNA". It matches the Rfam family "Eukaryotic small subunit ribosomal RNA", at positions 592 to 976 of the family's 1831-position model. The record is from RNAcentral.
CAAUAGCGUAUAUUAAAGUUGUUGCGGUUAAAAAGCUCGUAGUUGGAUUUCUGCUGAGAACGACCGGUCCGCCCUUUGGGUGUGUAUCUGGCUCUUUCUUGGCAUCUUCUUGGUGAACGUUGCUGCACUUGACUGUGUGGAGCGCUACCCAGGACUUUUACUUUGAGGAAAUUAGAGUGUUUCAAGCAGGCAUACGCCUUGAAUACAUUAGCAUGGAAUAAUAAGAUAGGACCUCGGUUCUAUUUUGUUGGUUUCUAGAGCUGAGGUAAUGAUUAAUAGGGAUAGUUGGGGGCAUUCGUAUUUAACAGUCAGAGGUGAAAUUCUUGGAUUUGUUAAAGACGGACUACUGCGAAAGCAUUUGCCAAGGAUGUUUUCAUUAA